UCUUCACAAUGGACGAAAGUCUGAUGGAGCAACGCCGCGUGAGUGAAGAAGGUUUUCGGAUCGUAAAACUCUGUUGUUGGAGAAGAAUGUAUCUGAUAGUAACUGAUCAGGUAGUGACGGUAUCCAACCAGAAAGCCACGGCUAACUACGUGCCAGCAGCCGCGGUAAUACGUAGGUGGCAAGCGUUGUCCGGAUUUAUUGGGCGUAAAGCGAGCGCAGGCGGUUUCUUAAGUCUGAUGUGAAAGCCUUCGGCUCAACCGAAGAAGUGCAUCGGAAACUGGGAAACUUGAGUGCAGAAGAGGACAGUGGAACUCCAUGUGUAGCGGUGAAAUGCGUAGAUAUAUGGAAGAACACCAGUGGCGAAGGCGGCUGUCUGGUCUGUAACUGACGCUGAGGCUCGAAAGCAUGGGUAGCAAACAGGAUUAGAUACCCUGGUAGUCCAUGCCGUAAACGAUGAGUGCUAGGUGUUGGAGGGUUUCCGCCCUUCAGUGCCGCAGCUAACGCAUUAAGCACUCCGCCUGGGGAGUACGACCGCAAGGUUGAAACUCAAAGGAAUUGACGGGGCCCCCCCACACA
This 576-nucleotide ribosomal RNA is filed under the name Lactobacillus sp. RNAcentral's name for it is "bacterial SSU rRNA". It matches the Rfam family "Bacterial small subunit ribosomal RNA", at positions 363 to 931 of the family's 1533-position model. The record is from RNAcentral. Lineage: Bacteria; Bacillati; Bacillota; Bacilli; Lactobacillales; Lactobacillaceae.